Carassius gibelio (silver crucian carp) is the source of this 3976-nucleotide RNA transcript. It is a transcript of the gene named src kinase-associated phosphoprotein 2, with no coding region annotated. The transcript is spliced from 14 exons. NCBI's taxonomy places the organism in Eukaryota, Metazoa, Chordata, Actinopteri, Cypriniformes, Cyprinidae. The record is from RefSeq and is a predicted model, not a curated record.
GCACUGUUUAGGGUGAGCGGCGAGUCAAAUGUUUCUGCUGGAGCAGGCGUGAUGAAUGAUACUGUCUAAUUUGAAUAGUGGUUUCUGCAGGGAAGGCUAUUUGCCUCUUCCGUAUUUCACAGUCCACUUGUAACUUCCGUGUUUCGAAGGCUAUCUUGCUGGGUCAAGCGGUUUAUCACAAUGAGGUCCAUCCCGGAAGAUUUAACGACACUCAUUUCAGAUCUUGAAACCUUUUUAACGGAUGUCCUUAAAGGGGAAAAUUUGAGCAAAAAAGCUAAAGAGAGAAAGGAUGCCUUCAUCAAGCGCAUUAAAGAUGUAAAAACGAGCUACUCUCAAGAGUUCAAGGACAAACGAGAUGAAGAGUUUCCAGAGCCUGAUGAAGCAGAUAACGACGGAGGAUCACUGCAGUCAGAGCAGACUGACAGGGAUGAGGAAAGCGCUUAUGAUGGAGUUCAACAGGCUCCUCCGGUGGCCGCUCAGGAGCUUCAGUCCGUUUUGAAGAGUGGCUACCUGGAGAAGCGAAGAAAGGAUCACAGCUUCUUUGGCAAUGAAUGGCAGAAGAGAUGGUGUGCUUUAAGCAACAACAUCUUCUACUACUAUGGCAGUGAGAAAGAUAAACAGCAGAAGGGAGAGUUUAAUAUAGUCGGAUACACUGUCAAACUGAACAACACCCUGCGGAAAGAUGCAAAGCGAGACUGUUGCUUUGAGGUAUCAGCUCCAGACAAGCGUGUUUAUCAGUUCUGUGCUGCGACUGAGAAAGAUGCGAAAGAGUGGGUGGAGCACAUUGAUUUUCUGAUUAAAGACAUGGGUGGAGUCAUUCCUGAAGAUGAAGAAGAGUAUGAUGACUGCUUAACUGUGUCCCAAUCGUCCAUGCCUGCACCUAUCGAUGAUGACAUUUAUGAAGAACUCCCUGAGGAAGAUACACCCCAGCCUGUUAAACCACCAGUGACCCUGGCCAGCAAACCUGUGACCCUGGCCAACAAACCAUCCACCCCUGUGACAGCAGUGAACAAAAGCACAGACUACGCCAACUACUUCCAGGGCUUGUGGGAUUGUGCUGGAGAUCAUCCGGAUGAGCUGUCCUUUAAACGAGGAGACACCAUCUACGUCCUCAGCAAGGAGUACGACAUGUUUGGCUGGUGGGUGGGGGAGAUGAAAGGGGCCGUCGGAAUCGUGCCUAAGGAGUAUCUCCUGGAACUGUACGUGCUGUAAGCUGUGUUUCCUGAUAAUUUAUUGGAAUGGUGGAAUCUGGAACACCGCAACAUUCCUGAUUGAACUCGUCCAGUCCGUUAAAGACUCCGCACUAAUGAAGGAGCUCAAGGUGGAGAGGAUGUUUCCACUAAGCCACACAUCACACGUCAGUAGCUCACUCUUCUCUCGGUCAGGGAAGGAGAGGACAGGAUGUUAGUGGUGAGAGGAGUGGAGGUAAGACACCUGUCGAGGGAGGUGGGGAUUCAUUAGUAUUCCUUUUACAUUUCCCAUCAGUUCCUGAGCAGAGCGGAGAAAGGAGGGGCACCAUCCGUCUCCUCCACAGAGGUCUACACAGAAGGCUGAAACGGAGAGGCGUGUGAUGUCAUAGAAGAGGUUGAAUAAAGCAUUCAACUGCAUGAAAAGAUUUUGGUGCGGAUGUUGAAUUUCCUCCUCUGUGAAAUGCUUAAUUACCACUUCCUGUCUGAGGACUUUACGGGAUAGUUCAACCAAAAGUGACAAUUCUGUCAUGCAACUUGUAUGACUUUCUAUACUAAUAUUAUAUAAAAUGAAAAACUUAAAGAUAGAAAUUUUGCUUUGGCCACUAAAUGAAAUAAAGUUUAAGCCGGAGAACUAAAAUUACUAAAAUUUACAUUACAUUAUUUUUUAUAAAUAAUUUGCUCUCAUUUUUGUGUACGUCUUUGUUGCUUGUUUAAAGGUUGAGAAUGUGUAUAUUUUAUUUUGUUGCUUUUUUGCAAAUAAGAAAUCCCAAUAAAGUAUAUGAACCAUGAAAAGAAAUCCUAAAACUAAAAUAGAAGUGUUAAAAUAAAAUAAAAAAUGUAUAAAAUUGCUUUUAAAAUUUAAAUAAAAACUGAAAAUACAAAAAUAGAACCUACACCAAAAUAUUAAUUAAUUCUUCAAUAGUACAUAAAAUAACACUGGGACCAAUAAACCAUUCAACCCCAUCGUCUUUCACUGUAUGGACAGAAAGACAUUUUUCUUUUUCAGAAUAUCUUCGUCUGUGUUCCACAUGCAGAAGAAAGUCAGUCAUACAGGUUCGUAAUGACACGAGGGAGUAAAUGAGAAAUAAAACUACCGUUUUAAGACACACCCUGUCAGCAUGAAGGUCCUGUUUUGUAGCGGCUGGGAGGUUUGCGGCAGCAGAUGGGCCGUCCCGCUGUGUGCCUGAUUGAAACACAGAAGCUGGCCUCGACUCAUAACAACAUCACCAGCUCCUGUCAGCUCCAGCCAGGGAACAAAUCAGCCUUCCUGCGGCUCUGCUGCAGGGAACACCACUCUGCUCGGAGGAAAAAGCGAGGCCCGUCCAAGGGCACAAAGGGUCCUUACAUUUUAGGACUGCCUGGCUGUCAGAGGUUAUAAGCGCUGUGCUUGUACCCACAGAUGAUAGUCAUGAAAAUCAAAGCUGGAGGUGCAGAUGGCCAAUCCGUAUGUGGAAAUCCUCUGCAGACUGCACUGUGAAUAUUGAAGUACUGAUUAUAUAAACUGGUCCAAAUAGACUAGUCACGAUUACACGUUUGAAGAUAAACCUCAGGUUAAUGCUUGUUUGAGAAAUCUCAGAGAUCAUUCAAAUGUAUCGUUUCCCAUACUGUUUGCAAAAUGAAUCGUUCUUUGAAUGUUUUCGCUAAUGUCCACAUAAAAAAAAGAAAAGAAGACUACUUCCAAAAACAAUUUGAGAAAAUUCAGUAUGUUAACUUAAUUCUUAAUUCAUUCUUAAAAUGUGUUUUUGCUGGGUAGGUCCUGGUUUUGAGCACAGUGAUGAUGGGUGGCAUUUGUGGUUGAAGAAAGCAGGGUGGAGGGUCUUUGUCUCUUGAGCUGAUGAUAUAGUGAGCUGGAGCUCCGAGCAGAAUGAUAUGAAGCCCACCCUCUGUCCUCUGGGUGACAUUCAAAGGAUCCAUAAAUCCUGCUCUUUAUGGGGCCAGUUUGCCAUAAAUCCCACGACCUAAUUGGAGAUGUAAUGAAUUAUCAUAAUUAGUCAUAGGCGGUUUUACAUUAAAUGGGAGGUGUGUAUGCCACGGGGUGCAGUCCAUCAUGGGGGACGGAAAUCUGUGUUUGUGGACAGCAGAGAUUUCAUCGGAAGUUUCCCCAGCUGUCUAAUCAGAGAUCAGAUGUGCUGUGUGUGUGUGUGUGUUUCUCUCAGACAGAUUCCUAGAUCAUAAUUCAGAACAUUAGCACAUGGUUUUUGCACACAUUCUGCAGACAGGGGGGCAAUCUUACAAUCUUUCUCAGCUUUCAACUAAAUUUGUCUGUGAUGAAAAGCUGUCGUCAAAGACCGUUUUGCUAAAUAUUACCAUUUGAUUUUAUAGGCUAAUAAAUGAUUUGGUUAAUGGAUCUGCACUCCUUCCCCUGCUCUGCUCCGGACAGCUGUAUAUCCUUUUUUACAAUUUGUUGGAAAAAUAUAGGUUUCAUAAAUAAGUGCCACAGAACAAUUAAUAUGGAGUGCAUUCAAUUCUAGAAAUGAUGCUAAACGCUAAUAAUUAAAACAACUGGAAAAGAAGUUUGACGAGUCGAGCUGAAAGUAGAGCAGAGAGUGCAAAGAGGAGAGCAGGUGCCCUUUUGGUUUAACUGCUCAGUUUGGUAAUGAUGCUGUUAAUAUGAGCUAACACUGUAAAAGAAAAUGACAAUUCACGGAUGAAUUGUAUCAUUAUUUGUGUGGAACACAUCUGCAAGACAUGGUCAGGAUUUAGAGGAAAUUAUACUGAAAAUGUUUUAUGUAUUUGUGUGCAUGAAAGUUGAUUAAAGGUUAAGUUAUUAAACGCACAUUUUCAAU